RNAcentral lists this microRNA precursor (197 nucleotides) under Medicago truncatula (barrel medic). RNAcentral describes it as "MIR2655 microRNA precursor family". It matches the Rfam family "MIR2655 microRNA precursor family", at positions 1 to 193 of the family's 267-position model. Lineage: Eukaryota; Viridiplantae; Streptophyta; Magnoliopsida; Fabales; Fabaceae. The record is from Rfam by way of RNAcentral.
CCCAUAAGUAAUAAAAGAUCCGUUUAGGUCCCUUAACUUUAUUUAAAGUAUCAGUUUGGUCUCUUAUGUUAAUUUAAUUCAAAAAAACGUUAAGUUUAGGGACCAAACAAAUACUAAUUAAAUAAGUUAAGGGACCAAACUAAUACUAGUUAAAUAAGUCAAGGGAUACCACUGCCAAUGUUUCCCUUUUAAAGGCA